AGUGAACGCUGGCGGUAGGCCUAACACAUGCGAGUCGAACGGCAGCACAGUAAGAGCUUGCUCUUACGGGUGGCGAGUGGCGGACGGGUGAGGAAUACAUCGGAAUCUACUUUUUCGUGGGGGAUAACGUAGGGAAACCUACGCUAAUACCGCAUACGACCUACGGGUGAAAGCAGGGGAUCUUCGGACCUUGCGCGAUUGGAUGAGCCGAUGUCGGAUUAGCUAGUUGGCGGGGUAAAGGCCCACCAAGGCGACGAUCCGUAGCUGGUCUGAGAGGAUGAUCAGCCACACUGGAACUGAGACACGGUCCAGACUCCUACGGGAGGCAGCAGUGGGGAAUAUUGGACAAUGGGCGCAAGCCUGAUCCAGCCAUACCGCGUGGGUGAAGAAGGCCUUCGGGUUGUAAAGCCCUUUUGUUGGGAAAGAAAAGCAGCAGGUUAAUACCCCGCUGUUCUGACGGUACCCAAAGAAUAAGCACCGGCUAACUUCGUG
This 492-nucleotide ribosomal RNA is filed under the name uncultured bacterium. RNAcentral describes it as "partial 16S ribosomal RNA". It matches the Rfam family "Bacterial small subunit ribosomal RNA", at positions 29 to 507 of the family's 1533-position model. The record is from RNAcentral.